GGAGUUAGCCGGUGCUUCUUCUGUGAGUGAUGUCCUUCCUGCCGGCUAUUAACCCGCAGGCCUUCUUCCUCACUGAAAGUGCUUUACAACCCGAAGGCCUUCUUCACACACGCGGCAUGGCUGGAUCAGGGUUGCCCCCAUUGUCCAAUAUUCCCCACUGCUGCCUACCGUAGGAGUCUGGGCCGUGUCUCAGUCCCAGUGUGGCUGAUCAUCCUCUCAGACCAGCUACGGAUCGUCGCCUUGGUGAGCCGUUACCUCACCAACCAGCUAAUCCGACAUAGGCUCAUCCGAUAGCGCGAGGCCCGAAGGUCCCCCGCUUUCCCCCGUAGGGCGUAUGCGGUAUUAGCCUGGGUUUCCCCAGGUUAUCCCCCACUACCGGGCAGAUUCCUAUGCAUUACUCACCCGUCCGCCGCUCGCCACCAGGGAGCAAGCUCCCCGUGCUGCCGCUCGACUUGCAUGUGUUAGGCCUGCCGCCAGCGUUCAAUCUGAGCCAUAAUCAAACUCUA
RNAcentral lists this ribosomal RNA (506 nucleotides) under uncultured bacterium. RNAcentral's name for it is "partial 16S ribosomal RNA". The record is from RNAcentral.